CUCUCUCUCUCUCUCUCUCUCGUCCUUUCCUUCACUUUCUCUCUUCUUCCUCCUUCUCCCUCUUCUUCUUCCUUCUUCCUUCUUCCUACAUAUGCAAUUUGUAUUCUUUCCUGACACGGUUUGUUCUGUUGAGCGCUGAGGACGAUGAUGAACACGAUGAUGGUGAUGUUGAUGUUGUUGGGUUCGUGAUGAACGAUGUUGAACGAUUUUAGAUGAAUGAGUUGAGUUGGUUGAAGAUCUAUGAAGAUGAUGACGAAAGCUACGAAUCUGAAUCUCGGAUCCGACCCUUCCACGGGAUUAGGGUUUCAGGAGAUCUCGGUCGCAAGUUCUUUUCCAAGCUAGGAUGACUGGAUGACAUCUCCAAUACUUCUUCCCUAUAAAUGCUCAUCUUUCGCGGCUCAACCUGAAGAUUUUGACAAGAGCAAAAACUAGCUGUUUCAAUAUUCUGUGCGAGGUUUCUCACUAUCGAGUAUAUGGAUUUGGUCGAGCAGAUUGUUCCCUACUUCAUGACCAUUAUAUGAUUAGUGAAAACUGCAUUAAGAAUUUUGGCCCCUUCAAGCUCUAAAGAAAAUAUCUCAGGAGCACCCAGCUGCCUGCCUAAGAGUUGGUGCUCUCAUGGCUGUACUCUCUUAUUUGGACUUCUUCUCAACUAGAGUUCAGGGAGAUACCUGGCUGUUUGAUAAUCCGAGGAGAAGAAGGGCUAUAUGUAAUUAUAAUGCAUACUGAACAACCCUCAAUUGAAGAUAGAAAUAAAACACGGGCUACUGGUUUUGAGGGUCAUGGAAAUUCUCAACAUUUAUCUCUACUUGGUCUGAUUUUGGUGUAAAGGUUUAGGAAGUGAUUGCAGUUGUUGUUGCUUUAUUAAUUAUAGUGAUUAUGUAUAUGAACAUGAGAGAUUUGUGCAGACUUAUAUCAAAAGCUUGGCAGAUAGCUGCUACACGAUAUGUGGAUCCCAAGUUGGUACGAAUAAGUGAAUCUACAUCGUUGAAGAACUCAAACAAGGAUGAUGUCGUGGAAUAAA
Vicia villosa (hairy vetch) is the source of this 1021-nucleotide long non-coding RNA. RefSeq lists it as uncharacterized. The transcript is spliced from 5 exons. NCBI's taxonomy places the organism in Eukaryota, Viridiplantae, Streptophyta, Magnoliopsida, Fabales, Fabaceae. The record is from RefSeq and is a predicted model, not a curated record.